RNAcentral lists this unclassified non-coding RNA (616 nucleotides) under Hevea brasiliensis (rubber tree). Lineage: Eukaryota; Viridiplantae; Streptophyta; Magnoliopsida; Malpighiales; Euphorbiaceae. The record is from RNAcentral.
GUGCCUCACAAAUUUCCUUUUUCAGCUUGAGAACAGCAGGAAGAUCCUCGAUAGAUAUUUCUCCUGGAUUUCGUCCCUCAGCCUCUUCAAACCUUUCUAUCACUCUCAUAGCAAAGUAAAGCUUUGACACUCUCCUGGGAAGUGUUCUCCAAGGUACUGAAAUUGAUUCCUGAAAACUUGGGUAUUGCAAUUCACAUUCAACGGUUGUGGGUUGAUUGUUUUCAUCAAGUUUUUUCUUUGUAUAUAUAUGCUUCUGCAAAUCAACAAAUAUCUCACCACAAGAAUUUCUGCAGUCAACUGUAUAAAAAGCUACACGCUUUGAUAGCUUCCGGCACUUCUCAUUGAUCAAUUUUUUGGUCAUGAGGGUGCAACAACUGACAAUGACAACAUCAAACCUGUCGAAGAAGUCUCCACCAAAGCUUGACAGAUCACCUUUUUCAACUGAAACACGAACCAUUGGGUUAAAUACUUUUAGAGAAUUGCAGCAAAGCUCAGCAACUGUUUUCUCAGCACAUACAUUCUCAUCAGGCAGUAUCAAAAAGUUAGAAGAUAAUGCAUCUUCAGUCACAGCCCGGUCAUCCACCAACGUCAAACUACCAACCCCCGCUAAUACAAU